AAAGCGUGCGCAGGCGGCUUUGCAAGACAGAUGUGAAAUCCCCGGGCUCAACCUGGGAACUGCAUUUGUGACUGCAAGGCUAGAGUACGGCAGAGGGGGAUGGAAUUCCGCGUGUAGCAGUGAAAUGCGUAGAUAUGCGGAGGAACACCAAUGGCGAAGGCAAUCCCCUGGGCCUGUACUGACGCUCAUGCACGAAAGCGUGGGGAGCAAACAGGAUUAGAUACCCUAGU
RNAcentral lists this ribosomal RNA (230 nucleotides) under uncultured bacterium. RNAcentral's name for it is "partial 16S ribosomal RNA". It matches the Rfam family "Bacterial small subunit ribosomal RNA", at positions 562 to 791 of the family's 1533-position model. The record is from RNAcentral.